AUGCAAGUCGAACGGUAACAGGAAGAAGCUUGCUGCUUUGCUGACGAGUGGCGGACGGGUGAGUAAUGUCUGGGAAACUGCCUGAUGGAGGGGGAUAACUACUGGAAACGGUAGCUAAUACCGCAUAACGUCCCAAGACCAAAGAGGGGGACCUUCGGGCCUCUUGCCAUCGGAUGCGCCCAGAUGGGAUUAGCUAGUAGGUGGGGUAACGGCUCACCUAGGCGACGAUCCCUAGCUGGUCUGAGAGGAUGACCAGCCACACUGGAACUGAGACACGGUCCAGACUCCUACGGGAGGCAGCAGUGGGGAAUAUUGCACAAUGGGCGCAAGCCUGAUGCAGCCAUGCCGCGUGUAUGAAGAAGGCCUUCGGGUUGUAAGGUACUUUCAGCGGGGAGGAAGGGAGUAAAGUUAAUACCUUUGCUCAUUGACGUUACCCGCAGAAGAAGCACCGGCUAACUCCGUGCCAGCAGCCGCGGUAAUACGGAGGGUGCAAGCGUUAAUCGGAAUUACUGGGCGUAAAGCGCACGCAGGCGGUUCGUUAAGUCAGAUGUGAAAUCCCCGGGCUCAACCUGGGAACUGCAUCUGAUACUGGCAAGCUUGAGUC
Molecule: ribosomal RNA, 604 nt
Filed under: uncultured Gammaproteobacteria bacterium
Lineage: Bacteria; Pseudomonadati; Pseudomonadota; Gammaproteobacteria
Description: bacterial SSU rRNA
Rfam family: Bacterial small subunit ribosomal RNA
Source: RNAcentral